AUUUCCCCUGCUAGUUGUAAACGUUCUACUUCACCCAACGCCACCAGUGGCAGACACGGAACGAUGGCGCGUGCCGCGCCUAAUUCGAACUACUAGAAAUGAAGGUGGUGUGCUGUCGGGCACUCUGGCAGGAACCGUUACGACGAAGCGGAGUGUUGGAGUUCCCAGGAGGCGCAAACAAAGAAAGCAUUGAUGCGAUCUGUGAGUGCAACGAGGAAAACGUGGCUGCUUCGGAUGAAAAAAAGUAUCUGAGAAGCCUGCAGAAAGUGACCAUGCUUCCAGCAACCCAAUCCCUUGUCCUGAUGCGCUACUUGAACUAAAGGCAAUUGAAGACAUGGUCACAGACCCCUUUUGUAUGGACCUUGGGCGAAUGAAAAUUCUUUUGGCCGCAACUGCAGAGGCCCGCCGCUCCAAUGCACCAGAUAAUUUGCCGUCAUAUUUUUUCAAUCCUGACGUGGCACAAGAGCUUGGCAACAGGUCUCCACCAGGCCCACGCAUUUUGAAAGAGAAUGACAACUUCAAAAUUGCCUGCAAGGAAAACAUCCUGGCUUUACCACCUGCAUCAUCACAUGAGAAGCAGUAAGCCUCCUGUUGACUGUAUAUUUUAUUUUAAGCUUGUCGUACCCACAC
RNAcentral lists this unclassified non-coding RNA (630 nucleotides) under Dermacentor andersoni. RNAcentral describes it as "uncharacterized LOC126519896". The record is from RNAcentral. Lineage: Eukaryota; Metazoa; Arthropoda; Arachnida; Ixodida; Ixodidae.